UGAGGAAUUUUGCGCAAUGGGGGAAACCCUGACGCAGCAACGCCGCGUGAGUGAUGAAGGCCUUCGGGUCGUAAAGCUCUGUCAAGUGGGAAGAACCUGCUCUGUGAUAACACCAUGGGGCACCGACGGUACCACUGAAGGAAGCACCGGCUAACUCCGUGCCAGCAGCCGCGGUAAUACGGGGGGUGCUAGCGUUAUUCGGAAUCAUUGGGCGUAAAGGGCGCGUAGGCGGUCUUUUAAGUCAGAUGUGAAAGCCCUCGGCUUAACCGAGGAAGUGCAUUUGAUACUAAGAGACUUGAGUAUGGGAGAGGGAAGCGGAAUUCCUGGUGUAGCGGUGAAAUACGUAGAUAUCAGGAGGAACACCGGUGGCGAAGGCGGCUUCCUGGACCAAUACUGACGCUGAGGCGCGAAGGCGUGGGGAGCAAACAGGAUUAGAUACCCUGGUAGUCCACGCAGUAAACGGUGAACACUAGGUGUAGCGGGUAUUGACCCCUGCUGUGCCGAAGCUAACGCAUUAAGUGUUCCGCCUGGGAAGUACGGCCGCAAGGUUA
RNAcentral lists this ribosomal RNA (551 nucleotides) under uncultured bacterium. Its description in RNAcentral is "bacterial SSU rRNA". It matches the Rfam family "Bacterial small subunit ribosomal RNA", at positions 355 to 896 of the family's 1533-position model. The record is from RNAcentral.